GCUCAGAACGAACGCUGGCGGCGUGCCUAAAGAUGCAAGUCGAACGAGAAAGUCCCGCAAGGGAUGAGUAAAGUGGCGCACGGGUGAGUAACACGUAGGUAACCUGCCUCUAAGACCGGGAUAACCUGUCGAAAGACGGGCUAAUACCAUAUAAGACCACAGUUCCUUCGGGAAUAGGGGUCAAAGGUGGCCUCUGCUUGCCAGCUAUAACUUAAAGAUGGGCCUGCGCACCAUUAGCUAUUUGGUAGGGUAAUGGCCUACCAAGGCAAAGAUGGUUAGCUGGUCUGAGAGGAUGAUCAGCCACACUGGGACUGAAACACGGCCCAGACUCCUACGGGAGGCAGCAGUGGGGAAUAUUGGGCAAUGGGCGAAAGCUUGACCCAGCAACGCCGCGUGGGUGAUGAAGGCCUUCGGGUGGUAAAGCCCUGUCGGUAGGAAAGAAUUCUUUUGGGGCGAAUAACCCCAGGAAAUGACGGUACCUUCAAAGGAAGCACCGGCUAAUUCCGUGCCAGCAGCCGCGGUAAUACGGAGGGUGCAAGCGUUGUUCGGAAUCAUUGGGCGUAAAGGGCGUGUAGGCGGCCCGUUAAGUCAUGUGUGAAAGCCCUCGGCUUAACCGAGGAAUGGCGCAUGAAACUGACAGGCUAGAGUACUGAAGAGGGGGGUGGAAUUCCCGGUGUAGCGGUGAAAUGUGUAGAUAUCGGGAGGAACACCAGUGGCGAUGGCGGCCCCCUGGUCGGAUACUUACGCUAAUACGCGAAAGCGUGGGGAGCAAACAGGAUUAGAUACCCUGGUAGUCCACGCAGUAAACGAUGGGCAAUAGGUGUCCGGGGUAUUGACCCCCCGGGUGCCGCAGCUAACGCAUUAAGUGCCCCGCUUGGGGAGUAC
Molecule: ribosomal RNA, 885 nt
Filed under: uncultured bacterium
Lineage: Bacteria
Description: bacterial SSU rRNA
Rfam family: Bacterial small subunit ribosomal RNA
Source: RNAcentral